GGAUUGGUGGACUUGUAGGGGCUGGAGUAGGACUUGGGUCAGCAUAGUCCAACGUUGAAAUGUGUUGGGUGACUUUUUCCAUGCCCUCAUCUGGAAAUAACUCAACAACAAAUUUCAGUAGUACUAGAAAAACAUGGCACUUGAAAUGCAAUACGAAUAGUUUACAAACAGUUUGAUAUAUUCCUAGCGUAUUAUUAAAAGUGAGUACCUAGUCGAAAAUUUGGUUGACGACUGGUUGCAUGUGCUGAUGAGAUGAAAAACAAGGUGAUCAUGCAGAAACAAAAAACAUGAGAAAUAGAAUCCAUAUUUCUUCGUGUAGACAAUGAUCCGGUCAAUUGC
This 339-nucleotide long non-coding RNA is filed under the name Setaria viridis. RNAcentral's name for it is "long non-coding RNA (SVIR_LNC003504)". Lineage: Eukaryota; Viridiplantae; Streptophyta; Magnoliopsida; Poales; Poaceae. The record is from RNAcentral.